Molecule: long non-coding RNA, 210 nt
Filed under: Volvox carteri
Lineage: Eukaryota; Viridiplantae; Chlorophyta; Chlorophyceae; Chlamydomonadales; Volvocaceae
Description: long non-coding RNA (VCAR_LNC001820)
Source: RNAcentral
GAAAAGGAAUUAAUAAUCGGUUCCGAUACGCAAACCGUCCGUUUUACGCCUCACUCGUGCUUUGACCAGUUUGACCAACGGAGACUUUGCCUAGUUCAUCCGCCAGCCAGCCUCGAAUAGCAUGUUACUGAGGCCUCGCUUACUUUUCUUUUUAGCAAAAUCCUGCUUAAACUUCCUUUCCGAAACAUUCUUACGUUGUCUAUGAUCCCC